AUGCAUGACCUUGUGCUGGAGGCACGGAGGCAGGGGCUCAAGCACGACACCAGCCUGCGGCCCACUGCUGUGGUGUUCCUGUGGGGCACGGGCCUCUCUUCCUCUCCUAUAUGGCCUCCCUGCUUGUGUUUAGAAGGAAAUGGUCUAUUUCAAAGGGUUGGGCCUGUUGCUUCUCCAGAUGCUCACUUACAUCUGCCCACUUCUGAGUUGAAAGCGCUCCUGGUAUAUGCAGAUGCUGUUACAGCUCUUUGGGAACUACAGUUUGCUGAAACUUUGGAAAAGGACAAGUAGAUGCUGAAUAUCAGAUCCAGAGUGAAGGAGCAGGCAUUCAUGG
This 334-nucleotide long non-coding RNA is filed under the name Anser brachyrhynchus (Pink-footed goose). RNAcentral describes it as "lncRNA (ENSABRG00000017833.1)". The record is from RNAcentral. Lineage: Eukaryota; Metazoa; Chordata; Aves; Anseriformes; Anatidae.